Molecule: ribosomal RNA, 447 nt
Filed under: uncultured bacterium
Lineage: Bacteria
Description: partial 16S ribosomal RNA
Rfam family: Bacterial small subunit ribosomal RNA
Source: RNAcentral
AACGAACGCUGGCGGCAGGCUUAACACAUGCAAGUCGAACGCCCCGAAAGGGGAGUGGCAGACGGGUGAGUAACGCGUGGGAAUCUACCCAUCUCUGCGGAAUAGCUCCGGGAAACUGGAAUUAAUACCGCAUACGCCCUACGGGGGAAAGAUUUAUCGGGGAUGGAUGAGCCCGCGUUGGAUUAGCUAGUUGGUGGGGUAAAGGACUACCAAGGCGACGAUCCAUAGCUGGUCUGAGAGGAUGAUCAGCCACAUUGGGACUGAGACACGGCCCAAACUCCUACGGGAGGCAUCAGUGGGGAAUAUUGGACAAUGGGCGCAAGCCUGAUCCAGCCAUGCCGCGGUAGUGAUGAAGGCCUUAGGGUUGUAAAGCUCUUUCACCGGUGAAGAUAAUGACGGUAACCGGAGAAGAAGCCCCGGCUAACUUCGUGCCAGCAGCCGCCGUAA